CUUCAAAAAGGUCACAUCGAAUGUUUUGGAUACUCAGUCGAACAAGACUAUGAGAGCUCGACAACUGGCCCCUGUAUGUAGCUCAGUUGGUGGAAUCGCAGGGCCACAGGGCCGAUUCCUGCCAGGGAUCUAAUCUCUAAAUUUGCAUUUUUUGCAGCUGUUCCUGGCCAGGUCUAAUAAAUGUAUAUAAAUUUUCACUCGACAAUUUCCAUCUACAAAGAGGAUACAUCCCAAGGGACGGAAUUUAUUUUUGGUGAAAGGUAUU
Non-coding RNA from Paramuricea clavata, 265 nucleotides. NCBI's taxonomy places the organism in Eukaryota, Metazoa, Cnidaria, Anthozoa, Malacalcyonacea, Plexauridae. The record is from the annotation of a GenBank genome assembly.